GCUGGAGUUGGGGCUCAGUGGUAGAGCACGUGCCUAGCAUGUGUGAGGCACUGGGUUCGAUUCUCAGCACCGCA
This 74-nucleotide transfer RNA is filed under the name Marmota monax (woodchuck). Its description in RNAcentral is "tRNA.Ala". It matches the Rfam family "tRNA". From Rfam's summary of the family: Transfer RNA (tRNA) molecules are approximately 80 nucleotides in length. Lineage: Eukaryota; Metazoa; Chordata; Mammalia; Rodentia; Sciuridae. The record is from RNAcentral.